Molecule: ribosomal RNA, 708 nt
Filed under: uncultured Pseudomonadota bacterium
Lineage: Bacteria; Pseudomonadati; Pseudomonadota
Description: bacterial SSU rRNA
Rfam family: Bacterial small subunit ribosomal RNA
Source: RNAcentral
GUGCUAACACAUGCAAGUCGAGCGAGCGGCGGACGGGUGAGUAACGCUUGGGAAUCUGCUGAAGUGGGGGACAACCCGGGGAAACUCGGGCUAAUACCGCAUAAGAUGAGCCCAAGUCGGAUUAGCUAGUUGGUAGGGUAACGGCCUACCAAGGCGACGAUCCGUAACUGGUCUGAGAGGACGACCAGUCACACCGGAACUGAGACACGGUCCGGACUCCUACGGGAGGCAGCAGUGGGGAAUAUUGGACAAUGGGCGAAAGCCUGAUCCAGCGACGCCGCGUGGGUGAAGAAGGCCUGCGGGUUGUAAAGCCCUUUCGGUGGGGAUGACGUAACCCAUAGAAGAAGCACCGGCUAACUCUGUGCCAGCAGCCGCGGUAAUACAGAGGGUGCGAGCGUUAAUCGGAAUUACUGGGCGUAAAGCGCGCGUAGGCGGCUUUGCAAGUCGGGUGUGAAAUCCCCAGGCUUAACCUGGGAACUGCAUUCGAGACUGCAUUGCUAGAGUAUGGGAGAGGGAAGUGGAAUUUCCGGUGUAGCGGUGAAAUGCGUAGAUAUCGGAAGGAACAUCAGUGGCGAAAGCGACUUCCUGGACCAAUACUGACGCUCAUGUGCGAAAGCGUGGGGAGCAAACAGGAUUAGAUACCCUGGUAGUCCACGCCAUAAACGAUGAGAACUGGAUGUCGGUGUCGUAGCUAACGCGUUAAGUCUC